CAAAAAGUGGUCUAGUUUGCACUUGUAAACUACAGGAUGCAUUGGUUUGCAAUUCCCAUGCUAGUGGUAAGAUUUAUUUCUAUAUCACCUCUGGUGUAAUGGAAUUAGAUGGAAACUCGCCUUUGGAACUAAGGGCCGGUGGAUUCACAACGUACAAAAAUUAUUAUGAACAACAUCACGGUAUAUCAUUGCAAUUUGAACAUCAGCAGCUGCUUAAAGCAAGACACAAUUUUCA
RNAcentral lists this small RNA (235 nucleotides) under Vigna angularis var. angularis. Its description in RNAcentral is "Non-protein coding transcript". The record is from RNAcentral. Lineage: Eukaryota; Viridiplantae; Streptophyta; Magnoliopsida; Fabales; Fabaceae.